Molecule: ribosomal RNA, 853 nt
Filed under: Candidatus Phytoplasma sacchari
Lineage: Bacteria; Bacillati; Mycoplasmatota; Mollicutes; Acholeplasmatales; Acholeplasmataceae
Description: bacterial SSU rRNA
Rfam family: Bacterial small subunit ribosomal RNA
Source: RNAcentral
CCCCCCUGCCUUCAUUCUCUCCAUUUGUUUUUCUUAGGGAGGAGCGUGCGUCACAUUAGUUAGUUGGCAGGGUAAAGGCCUACCAAGACUAUGAUGUGUAGCUGGACUGAGAGGUUGAACAGCCACAUUGGGACUGAGACACGGCCCAAACUCCUACGGGAGGCAGCAGUAGGGAAUUUUCGGCAAUGGAGGAAACUCUGACCGAGCAACGCCGCGUGAACGAUGAAGUAUUUCGGUAUGUAAAGUUCUUUUAUUGAAGAAGAAAAAAUAGUGGAAAAACUAUCUUGACGAUAUUCAAUGAAUAAGCCCCGGCAAACUAUGUGCCAGCAGCCGCGGUAAUACAUAGGGGGCGAGCGUUAUCCGGAAUUAUUGGGCGUAAAGGGUGCGUAGGCGGUUUAAUAAGUCUAUAGUUUAAUUUCAGUGCUUAACACUGUCCUGCUAUAGAAACUAUUAGACUAGAGUGAGAUAGAGGCAAGUGGAAUUCCAUGUGUAGCGGUAAAAUGCGUAAAUAUAUGGAGGAACACCAGAGGCGUAGGCGGCUUGCUGGGUCUUUACUGACGCUGAGGCACGAAAGCGUGGGGAGCAAACAGGAUUAGAUACCCUGGUAGUCCACGCCGUAAACGAUGAGUACUAAGUGUCGGGAUUACUCGGUACUGAAGUUAACACAUUAAGUACUCCGCCUGAGUAGUACGUACGCAAGUAUGAAACUUAAAGGAAUUGACGGGACUCCGCACAAGCGGUGGAUCAUGUUGUUAAUCGAAGAUACACGAAAAGCGUAACCAUGGCUUGACAUACUCUGCAAAGCUGUAGAAACACAAGUGAAGGGAUGGGGAUGUCCUAUAGAAGAGAAGGU